This is a non-coding RNA of Calypte anna (Anna's hummingbird), 228 nucleotides long. The record is from Rfam. Lineage: Eukaryota; Metazoa; Chordata; Aves; Apodiformes; Trochilidae.
ACAGCUUUGGACAAAAGUCUAUAGCCAGUGCAUUCGUAACUCCCCAUGCACAAGAGCUGACUGUGGCUCUGGGAAGGCAUUUUACUCAUUUGAUUUCUUUUUUUCUUGUAGUCUUCUUGUCCAGUUCUCAGGUGUUUACCCACCUAUUAGAAUUUCACCUGUAUGGGUCUUGUGUUUGAGAAAGUCCCAGGACUUGUCAGCUGUAUAGGCCUCAUAAAAGACAGCUCU